This 449-nucleotide ribosomal RNA is filed under the name uncultured bacterium. RNAcentral describes it as "partial 16S ribosomal RNA". It matches the Rfam family "Bacterial small subunit ribosomal RNA", at positions 29 to 523 of the family's 1533-position model. The record is from RNAcentral.
AACGAACGCUGGCGGCAUGCCUAACACAUGCAAGUCGAACGAAGCCUUCGGGCUUAGUGGCGCACGGGUGCGUAACGCGUGGGAAUCCGCCCUUGGGUUCGGAAUAACAGUUAGAAAUGACUGCUAAUACCGGAUGAUGUCUUCGGACCAAAGAUUUAUCGCCCAAGGAUGAGCCCGCGUAGGAUUAGGUAGUUGGUGGGGUAAUGGCCCACCAAGCCGACGAUCCUUAGCUGGUCUGAGAGGAUGAUCAGCCGCACUGGGACUGAGACACGGCCCAGACUCCUACGGGAGGCAGCAGUGGGGAAUAUUGGACAAUGGGCGAAAGCCUGAUCCAGCAAUGCCGCGUGAGUGAUGAAGGCCUUAGGGUUGUAAAGCUCUUUUACCAGGGAUGAUAAUGACAGUACCUGGAGAAUAAGCUCCGGCUAACUCCGUGCCAGCCGCCGCGGUAA